UUUCGAGGUUCUUCACACCAUGUUUCCCCUGAGGAGUGCUUCAACAUUCAGCUUUUUUGCAUUUUCUUCACCGUGGCUCUUGAGGAGCAAUUCUUCGUGGAGCUUUUUGUGUUUUGUUCACCUUGUGGUCCCUGAGGAGUUCUCCAUCGUGCAGCUUUUGGGGUUCUCUUCACUUUGGGACUCCGGAGGAACACAUCAUCGUGCAUAUUUUGGUAUUUUCUUCACUACGGCCCUGAGGAGUUCAUCGUGCUGCUUGUGGUGUUUUCUUCUACUUGGCCCUGAGGAGUUCUGCACCAUCCAGCCUUUGGUGUUCUCCUUACCAUGUUUUCUCCUGAGCUUCAUCAUGCCGCUUUUGGCCUCGAGGAGUGCUUCUGCGUGCGGCUUCUGGUGUAUUCUUCAUUGUCGUCCGUGAGGAGUUCUUCAUCGUUCAGCUUUUUGGGAUCUCUUCACCACGUUUCCUCUGAGGAGAGCUUUAUCGUCCAUCUUUUGGUGUUUUCUUCUAGUCAGCGCUAAGGAGUUCUGCAUCGUGCAGCUUUUGGUGUUUUCUACAAUGAGGCGCUUUUCGGCAUCUACCAUGUCUGCAGCCAGACCGACAGCUCCGUGCCUGACGUGUGAAGAAGCACAUUCUUCUGUCUAUUUUCAAUCUGCCAACUGAUCAUUUCAUGUAGAGCUGUCUUUUUUGUAUUAGGAGGUGCCAUGUUCUGUCAUGCUGCUAUAAAUCUCUUUCAAACAAUUUCCGAGUUCUCUUGCCUCAUGUACUGGGUUUAGUGGCAAGGUUUUGGUAGCAGGAGGGCCAUCAGGGUGGGUUCUGUGAGAAGAAUCCAGAAACUGCGCCAUGUUAGAGAAGGGCCCGCUGCUGGCCACAGCCAGGCCAAGAAGCGCUGUUUGCACCUCUGUGAGGCCAGAUUUAAGAAAGGUUAAAAGAAACAAAAACAAACAAACAAAUGCUGCGGAGGAGCAGCUGGGAGAGAGGGAGGAAUGAGAAACAGCCUUGCAGACGCCAAGGUCGGUGAAGAGGGAGGGGGAGAGGUGUUCCAGGUGCCGGAGCCUGCAGCCUGCAGCCUGUGGUGAGGACCAUGGAGAAGCAGGCUGUCCCCCUGCAGCCCAUGGUGUACCACGGUGGAGCAGGGUUCCACGCUGCAGCCCGUGGAGGGGACCCCAGUGGAACAGGGGCAGAGAGCGACCGAGAAGGAGCAGCGGAGACAAAGUGCUACGGACUGACCUCAGCCCCCAUUGCCCCGCUCCCCUGAGCCACUUGGGUAGAGGAGGUGGGAGAGGGUAGAUUGGAGGCAGGGGAAAUCUUACUGUCUCCGUCCUCUGAGUCUGCUUUGCCCAUCACGAUACCUGCUGAGUGAUCUCCCCAUCCUUAUCUGAGCCCUUGAGCCCUUGGCAUCGUAUUUUCUCUCCCUUUCCCUUUCAGGAGGGGGAGGGAGAGAGCGGCCGUGCUGGAACUCGGCCACCCACCCGAGUAAAAGCACCACACUGUAACACUUAAAUUAAAGUCCCUUUGCUGCAUCUGAAGUCCUUUCUUCCUUGUCCUAAAGCUAUGGCCUAGGGAGAAGUUUGCUCGCUUUUUAUUUGCAGCAUCCUUCUCCACAUCUCGGUUCUGCCUUCUCUUGACAUUAAAGCCUUAGUCCAUUAAUCCAAUGUUUAAUCUUUCCUUAGAGACCACGUUUCCUAAAAGCCUGAUCCUAAGAAGGGUCGUUCUUAGCAUCGCUUCCUGGGUUCCUUGGAUGCUUUCUGCUUGGUGUGUGUAUUCCUUGAGAUACAAUCCUCAGAAAUGGACACAAUUUCAGUGGAAAAUUUCACAGUAGACCCCACACUCUGGAUAGAGCAGUCUUCCGUCAGCCGCUCCCUCUCACCUUCUUCAACCUGCUGAUGGGAGCACGAGGUGGAGGGUGUUGCAGGCUUUCUGAAGGUGACACGUGAGGGUCUUCCCUGAGCAAGGUGUUCCGCUGUCAGAGAAGGAAACGGCUUUGUUGUUUGUUUCUCACCAUCGGCACUUUGUUGCAGUUUCAGCUGUGAUUGCCUAACUACACAUAACCUAUUGGAUUAUUUCUUGGAGUAUUUUUGUAGGAGCGGACAUUUUACUCACUAGUUCAAAUAGCGAGAUCGUGUUCAUGUCAUUCACUUACUUUUCAGCCAAAUGCAACUUUUCAUAGAAUUUGCUAGCGUUGCAGGGGCCCGGCCAUGACUGCUCUCCUCUUAAGGCACCUCCAGUGCUAAGGAGACAGGGAAAGACUUUGGGAGUGCAUUUGGUGUCUUCCCAGUGGGAUGCUGAUGUGCUAAACUUUUCUAUCACAGAGUGUGAUGUGAACCUCCAGAACCAAGCAACAACACAACAAAAAUGAAAGGCUCUUGCUAGUGUCUGCCAUGAUAUCCUGCUAACAAAGCUGACAAAGCGUGGGACAGAAGAGCGGACAGUAAGGUGGGUUGAGAACUGGCUGACUGGCCGAGCUCAAAGGGUGGUGAUCGGUGGCGCUUGGAGACCUGUGACAAGCUCAGGGGUUGGUGCUGGGUCCCGUCUUGUUCGACAGUUUCAUCAGCGACUCUGAUGAGGGAACAGUGUCCACCCUCAGCAUGUACACCAAUGAUACAAAGCUGGGAGGAGUGCCUGGCACGCCAGAAGGCUGUGCUGCCAUUCAGCGAGACCUUGACAGGCUGGAGAGCUGGGCAGGAAGAAACCAGAUGAGGUUUAACAAAAGCAAGUUGCACCUGGGAAGUGUUAUAUAUGGAGUGGUAAUUCGUGUUGAGAAGAUGGUUGAUAUUAAUAAAGAAGGGGGAGAUGUGGGAGUGUGGCCA
Molecule: long non-coding RNA, 2802 nt
Filed under: Anas platyrhynchos platyrhynchos (common mallard)
Lineage: Eukaryota; Metazoa; Chordata; Aves; Anseriformes; Anatidae
Description: lncRNA (ENSAPLG00000027757.1)
Source: RNAcentral